Molecule: ribosomal RNA, 3107 nt
Filed under: Salmonella enterica subsp. enterica serovar Fresno
Lineage: Bacteria; Pseudomonadati; Pseudomonadota; Gammaproteobacteria; Enterobacterales; Enterobacteriaceae
Description: bacterial LSU rRNA
Rfam family: Bacterial large subunit ribosomal RNA
Source: RNAcentral
GGGUUGUGAGGUUAAGCGACUAAGCGUACACGGUGGAUGCCCUGGCAGUCAGAGGCGAUGAAGGGCGUGCUAAUCUGCGAUAAGCGCCGGUAAGGUGAUAUGAACCGUUAUAACCGGCGAUACCCGAAUGGGGAAACCCAGUGUGAUUCGUCACACUAUCAUUAACUGAAUCCAUAGGUUAAUGAGGCGAACCGGGGGAACUGAAACAUCUAAGUACCCCGAGGAAAAGAAAUCAACCGAGAUUCCCCCAGUAGCGGCGAGCGAACGGGGAGGAGCCCAGAGCCUGAAUCAGCAUGUGUGUUAGUGGAAGCGUCUGGAAAGGCGCGCGAUACAGGGUGACAGCCCCGUACACAAAAGCGCAUGUGCUGUGAGCUCGAUGAGUAGGGCGGGACACGUGGUAUCCUGUCUGAAUAUGGGGGGACCAUCCUCCAAGGCUAAAUACUCCUGACUGACCGAUAGUGAACCAGUACCGUGAGGGAAAGGCGAAAAGAACCCCGGCGAGGGGAGUGAAAAAGAACCUGAAACCGUGUACGUACAAGCAGUGGGAGCCCCACCACUAAGCCAGUGGUGAACUCCACAUACGCAUCCUUUGCUGAGGAUACGGUUAACGGAGCGAAAGCGACGUUCAACCGCAAAAGAAGCAGAGGGGGCUUAGUGGUGGGGUGACUGCGUACCUUUUGUAUAAUGGGUCAGCGACUUAUAUUCUGUAGCAAGGUUAACCGAAUAGGGGAGCCGGAGGGAAACCGAGUCUUAAUUGGGCGUUAAGUUGCAGGGUAUAGACCCGAAACCCGGUGAUCUAGCCAUGGGCAGGUUGAAGGUUGGGUAACACUAACUGGAGGACCGAACCGACUAAUGUUGAAAAAUUAGCGGAUGACCUGUGGCUGGGGGUGAAAGGCCAAUCAAACCGGGAGAUAGCUGGUUCUCCCCGAAAGCUAUUUAGGUAGCGCCUCGUGAAUUCAUCUCCGGGGGUAGAGCACUGUUUCGGCUAGGGGGCCAUCCCGGCUUACCAACCCGAUGCAAACUGCGAAUACCGGAGAAUGUUAUCACGGGAGACACACGGCGGGUGCUAACGUCCGUCGUGAAGAGGGAAACAACCCAGACCGCCAGCUAAGGUCCCAAAGUCAUGGUUAAGUGGGAAACGAUGUGGGAAGGCCCAGACAGCCAGGAUGUUGGCUUAGAAGCAGCCAUCAUUUAAAGAAAGCGUAAUAGCUCACUGGUCGAGUCGGCCUGCGCGGAAGAUGUAACGGGGCUAAACCAUGCACCGAAGCUGCGGCAGCGAACGUAUCACUUAAAGCGAUUCAGCGGGUUACGAUUGACGGAGCGAAGCGACGUCAAAGCGUAUACAAAGUCGAGUCGGUUUAAGGAUACGUUCGUUGGGUAGGGGAGCGUUCUGUAAGCCUGCGAAGGUGGCCUGUGAGGGUUGCUGGAGGUAUCAGAAGUGCGAAUGCUGACAUAAGUAACGAUAAAGCGGGUGAAAAGCCCGCUCGCCGGAAGACCAAGGGUUCCUGUCCAACGUUAAUCGGGGCAGGGUGAGUCGACCCCUAAGGCGAGGCCGAAAGGCGUAGUCGAUGGGAAACGGGUUAAUAUUCCCGUACUUGGUGUUACUGCGAAGGGGGGACGGAGAAGGCUAUGUUGGCCGGGCGACGGUUGUCCCGGUUUAAGCGUGUAGGCUGGUUUUCCAGGCAAAUCCGGAAAAUCAAGGCUGAGGCGUGAUGACGAGGCACUACGGUGCUGAAGCAACAAAUGCCCUGCUUCCAGGAAAAGCCUCUAAGCAUCAGGUAACAUCAAAUCGUACCCCAAACCGACACAGGUGGUCAGGUAGAGAAUACCAAGGCGCUUGAGAGAACUCGGGUGAAGGAACUAGGCAAAAUGGUGCCGUAACUUCGGGAGAAGGCACGCUGACACGUAGGUGAAGUGAUUUACUCACGGAGCUGAAGUCAGUCGAAGAUACCAGCUGGCUGCAACUGUUUAUUAAAAACACAGCACUGUGCAAACACGAAAGUGGACGUAUACGGUGUGACGCCUGCCCGGUGCCGGAAGGUUAAUUGAUGGGGUCAGCGCAAGCGAAGCUCCUGAUCGAAGCCCCGGUAAACGGCGGCCGUAACUAUAACGGUCCUAAGGUAGCGAAAUUCCUUGUCGGGUAAGUUCCGACCUGCACGAAUGGCGUAAUGAUGGCCAGGCUGUCUCCACCCGAGACUCAGUGAAAUUGAACUCGCUGUGAAGAUGCAGUGUACCCGCGGCAAGACGGAAAGACCCCGUGAACCUUUACUAUAGCUUGACACUGAACAUUGAGCCUUGAUGUGUAGGAUAGGUGGGAGGCUUUGAAGUGUGGACGCCAGUCUGCAUGGAGCCGACCUUGAAAUACCACCCUUUAAUGUUUGAUGUUCUAACGUGGACCCGUAAUCCGGGUUGCGGACAGUGUCUGGUGGGUAGUUUGACUGGGGCGGUCUCCUCCUAAAGAGUAACGGAGGAGCACGAAGGUUGGCUAAUCCUGGUCGGACAUCAGGAGGUUAGUGCAAUGGCAUAAGCCAGCUUGACUGCGAGCGUGACGGCGCGAGCAGGUGCGAAAGCAGGUCAUAGUGAUCCGGUGGUUCUGAAUGGAAGGGCCAUCGCUCAACGGAUAAAAGGUACUCCGGGGAUAACAGGCUGAUACCGCCCAAGAGUUCAUAUCGACGGCGGUGUUUGGCACCUCGAUGUCGGCUCAUCACAUCCUGGGGCUGAAGUAGGUCCCAAGGGUAUGGCUGUUCGCCAUUUAAAGUGGUACGCGAGCUGGGUUUAGAACGUCGUGAGACAGUUCGGUCCCUAUCUGCCGUGGGCGCUGGAGAACUGAGGGGGGCUGCUCCUAGUACGAGAGGACCGGAGUGGACGCAUCACUGGUGUUCGGGUUGUCAUGCCAAUGGCACUGCCCGGUAGCUAAAUGCGGAAGAGAUAAGUGCUGAAAGCAUCUAAGCACGAAACUUGCCCCGAGAUGAGUUCUCCCUGAGACUUAGAGUCUCCUGAAGGAACGUUGAAGACGACGACGUUGAUAGGCCGGGUGUGUAAGCGCAGCGAUGCGUUGAGCUAACCGGUACUAAUGAACCGUGAGGCUUAACCUUACAACGCCGAAG